RNAcentral lists this ribosomal RNA (495 nucleotides) under uncultured bacterium. Its description in RNAcentral is "partial 16S ribosomal RNA". It matches the Rfam family "Bacterial small subunit ribosomal RNA", at positions 28 to 507 of the family's 1533-position model. The record is from RNAcentral.
GACGAACGCUGGCGGCGUGCCUAAUACAUGCAAGUAGAACGCUGAAGGAGGAGCUUGCUUCUCUGGAUGAGUUGCGAACGGGUGAGUAACGCGUAGGUAACCUGCCUGGUAGCGGGGGAUAACUAUUGGAAACGAUAGCUAAUACCGCAUAAGAGUAGAUGUUGCAUGACAUUUGCUUAAAAGGUGCAAUUGCAACACUACCAGAUGGACCUGCGUUGUAUUAGCUAGUUGGUGGGGUAACGGCUCACCAAGGCGACGAUACAUAGCCGACCUGAGAGGGGGAUCGGCCGCACUGGGACUGGGACACGGCCCAGACUCCUACGGGAGGCAGCAGUAGGGAAUCUUCGGCAAUGGACGGAAGUCUGACCGAGCAACGCCGCGUGAGUGAAGAAGGUUUUCGGAUCGUAAAGCUCUGUUGUAAGAGAAGAACGAGUGUGAGAGUGGAAAGUUCACACUGUGACGGUAUCUUACCAGAAAGGGACGGCUAACUACGUG